AAACGACUCUCGGCAACGGAUAUCUCGGCUCUCGCAUCGAUGAAGAACGUAGCGAAAUGCGAUACUUGGUGUGAAUUGCAGAAUCCCGUGAACCAUCGAGUCUUUGAACGCAAGUUGCGCCCCAAGCCAUCAGGCCGAGGGCACGUCUGCCUGGGUGUCACGCAUCGCUGCCCCACCCCGCUCCCCCCCGACCGACGCGGGGGACUGGCGGUGCGGGCGGAGACUGGCCUCCCGUGCGCUCCCCGCUCGCGGUUGGCCCAAAUCCGAGUCCUCGGCGACCGGAGCCGCGGCGAUCGGUGGUGAAAGAAAAGCCUCUCGAGCUCCCGCCGCGCGCCCGGUCACCCCCGUGGGGACUCCGCGGCCCAGACGCUCCGCACCAGCGGCGCUCGCAUAGCGACCCCAGGUCAGGCGGGACUACCCGCUGAGUUUAAGCAUAUCAAUAAGCGGAGGAAAAGAAACUUACCAGGAUUCCCCUAGUAACGGCGAGCGAACCGGGAAGAGCCC
This 504-nucleotide ribosomal RNA is filed under the name Bergera tetramera. RNAcentral describes it as "eukaryotic LSU rRNA". The stretch from base 5 to 160 matches the Rfam family "5.8S ribosomal RNA". Lineage: Eukaryota; Viridiplantae; Streptophyta; Magnoliopsida; Sapindales; Rutaceae. The record is from RNAcentral.